GUGCUCACACUGGCAGUCCAUAUACUAAAAUUGGAACAAUAAAGGGAAGAUUAGCAAGUCCCCUGUGCAGGAUGACAGAGAAAUUCAUGAAAUGUUCCAUAUUAAA
Vulpes vulpes (red fox) is the source of this 106-nucleotide small nuclear RNA. NCBI's taxonomy places the organism in Eukaryota, Metazoa, Chordata, Mammalia, Carnivora, Canidae. The record is from Ensembl.